AGGACGAACGCUGGCGGCGUGCUUAACACAUGCAAGUCGAACGGUAAGGCCUUUCGGGGUACACGAGUGGCGAACGGGUGAGUAACACGUGGGUGAUCUGCCCUGCACUUUGGGAUAAGCCUGGGAAACUGGGUCUAAUACCGAAUAUGACCAUGGACUUCACGGUUUGUGGUGGAAAGCUUUUGCGGUGUGGGAUGGGCCCGCGGCCUAUCAGCUUGUUGGUGGGGUAAUGGCCUACCAAGGCGACGACGGGUAGCCGGCCUGAGAGGGUGACCGGCCACACUGGGACUGAGAUACGGCCCAGACUCCUACGGGAGGCAGCAGUGGGGAAUAUUGCACAAUGGGCGCAAGCCUGAUGCAGCGACGCCGCGUGAGGGAUGACGGCCUUCGGGUUGUAAACCUCUUUCAGUAGGGACGAAGCGCAAGUGACGGUACCUAUAGAAGAAGGACCGGCCAACUACGCGCCAGCAGCCGC
RNAcentral lists this ribosomal RNA (475 nucleotides) under uncultured bacterium. Its description in RNAcentral is "SSU rRNA". It matches the Rfam family "Bacterial small subunit ribosomal RNA", at positions 26 to 518 of the family's 1533-position model. The record is from RNAcentral.